RNAcentral lists this ribosomal RNA (450 nucleotides) under uncultured bacterium. RNAcentral's name for it is "partial 16S ribosomal RNA". It matches the Rfam family "Bacterial small subunit ribosomal RNA", at positions 354 to 796 of the family's 1533-position model. The record is from RNAcentral.
GUGGGGAAUAUUGGACAAUGGGCGAAAGCCUGAUCCAGCCAUGCCGCGUGUGUGAAGAAGGUCUUCGGAUUGUAAAGCACUUUAAGUUGGGAGGAAGGGUAGUAACCUAAUACGUUGCUACUUUGACGUUACCGACAGAAUAAGCACCGGCUAACUUCGUGCCAGCAGCCGCGGUAAUACGAAGGGUGCAAGCGUUAAUCGGAAUUACUGGGCGUAAAGCGCGCGUAGGUGGUUCAGUAAGUUGGAAGUGAAAUCCCCGGGCUCAACCUGGGAACUGCUUUAAAAACUGCUGAGCUAGAGUACGGUAGAGGGUGGUGGAAUUUCCUGUGUAGCGGUGAAAUGCGUAGAUAUAGGAAGGAACACCAGUGGCGAAGGCGACCACCUGGACUGAUACUGACACUGAGGUGCGAAAGCGUGGGGAGCAAACAGGAUUAGAAACCCGUGUAGUCC